CAGUAGCCGCGGUAACACGUAGGUGGCAAGCGUUGUCCGGAAUUAUUGGGCGUAAAGGGCUCGCAGGCGGUUUCUUAAGUCUGAUGUGAAAGCCCCCGGCUCAACCGGGGAGGGUCAUUGGAAACUGGGAAACUUGAGUGCAGAAGAGGAGAGUGGAAUUCCACGUGUAGCGGUGAAAUGCGUAGAGAUGUGGAGGAACACCAGUGGCGAAGGCGACUCUCUGGUCUGUAACUGACGCUGAGGAGCGAAAGCGCGGGGAGCGAACAGGAUUAGAUACCCCCGUAGUCCCUGUCUCUUAUAC
Molecule: ribosomal RNA, 301 nt
Filed under: uncultured bacterium
Lineage: Bacteria
Description: partial 16S ribosomal RNA
Rfam family: Bacterial small subunit ribosomal RNA
Source: RNAcentral